This 2962-nucleotide long non-coding RNA is filed under the name Trifolium pratense (red clover). RNAcentral's name for it is "long non-coding RNA (TPRA_LNC011038)". Lineage: Eukaryota; Viridiplantae; Streptophyta; Magnoliopsida; Fabales; Fabaceae. The record is from RNAcentral.
AUAAAAAUAGAUCGUCCGAAGAAUUCCAAAUCAACAAAGUUUGAAAAUGAAACGACAUAAUCCAAUUUUUAACAUUCUCAAAGCAAUACAAUAAUUGAAUUGACAUUUAUAGUUCCCCCAUAGGACUUCCUAACAGAGCGACUCAGAGACUGAAGCAAUAAAGUAGAUGGCUCUCUAACGCCGUCGCCGAACUAGGUCUAGUGCUUCUCUCACCUACCUGAAAAUCUACGGUUGCACACCGUAGGGCCAAGCCAGAAAAGGGAAACAACAAGGGGUAAGUAAUACAAUCACAAAGAAUAUCAACCACAAAUGAGCACAAUUAUUAAAAAAACAAUAAGUCAACAAUAUCAACAUCCAUUCCAAUUUUAUAACAUAGAGGAUCACCACCAAUUCCAGUUUUAUAUCAUGGAGGAUCACCACAUAUUCCAGUUUUAUAUCAUCGAGGAUCACCACAUAUUCCAGUUUUAUAUCAUGGAGGAUCAACGUCAAUAGUUCGGCAUCAUUCUACAACAUCAUUGACAACAUCAUUAGGACUCGGCAUGAUUAGACACGUGAAUGAAUACAUAGUCAUGUUCCUAAUUAACAACAUCAGUUAACAACGUCAUUAUUUCAAAAACACGAAUAACAUCAUUACGUCAACAUCAUUAUAGCAACACGGUUCAGCAUCAUUAAUUAACAACAACGGCAACGUCAUGAUUUAGCGACUCAAAUUAUCAAUUUUAAUUCAAUGAACUCAAUUAAUUAGCCUUACUAGACAGCGGCGAAAUAGCCCCUCAUGCUCGUAUGAAUCAGGACCUAUCUAAAGUAAUAGGAACCAUAUUGUAAUUUUAUCCAUAGGUUUCCUCACAUUAUGACAAAUUGACAAGUUUGACCGCACCCACUUUAAAUGCUUCGAUAUAAUCCUCACAACUAGUUCAGCCACUACAUAAAUCAUUCUUAAUAUUAAUCACCAUCCUGUGAUAACAAUUUAAUAUUACAUCUUUGAAUCACCUUUGAAUCACCAACAACACUUGCUUCUAAAAUUAGUGACCAAUCACCAUAACUCCAAAAUCAUUCCGCUUCAAAACCAAACUCUAAUUACAUGUCUCUAAAUGUUGAUGUGAUUAUUCCUACGGGACCCUAACAUCAACAUACAAUAACUACUCACAAGGUAUUUCAAUUUAAAUGAAUUCAAGCAACAUGGACAUCAAGAACAACAGCAACAGUCCCAAAAUUCAAUCGACAUAUAGGGCAUAAAAACUCGAUUCCGAAACAAGCACAAACAACAACAACAACAACAACAACAAACAACAACACGUGGUAAUAAAGAAAAACGGAAAGGAAGGAUAACAAUUAAACCCACACUAUUCAGAAAUUCAGAAACAUAAAUGAAUUGUUAAGCACCCUUACUUGGAAAAACAAUUAUCUUAGGUCAGUUGUGAGUUUUUCUUUUCUCUUCUUUCUCUUCUCCCUCUCGUACGUGUAUCUCUCUUUUCCCCUUGCUCAUCUUUUCUUUCUUUCUCUUGUUUCUUUUUAGCAAAAAGUGGAUAGAUAUUUUUCAAUUUGAUUCUAUCCUAAUCAUAAUCUACUUAUAGGAAUAAUUAGGUGAGAUUUCCUUCCCAUGAAGGAAAAUUAUGUCUUUAUCUUUUUUUUUUUUUGGUCAGGUAGCCUAGUGGCUUAAAUUAUGUCUUUAUCUAUUAAUUGGUUUUUCUUUCUACUAGGCCCAAUUUUAUUAUUUCUACUAUUUUACUAUUCUUUCUUACUCACACCCCCUCUCCACCUAUUAUAUAAUUUCUACACCUCAUGCCUACUCUUUCUUCACUUUUAUUUUCAACUUAUCAUUCUACUCAUUUAUUCAUUAAUUAUUUAAUUACUCAUCACACACAAUAAUUAAAUCAUUAUCAAUAAUCAACUCCUACAAAAAUUACUAAUUAAUUCUAAAUUUGGGGCGUUACAAUAUUUAGUGUUGAUGUAAAAAUUAUUUACACUAAUAUAAAAAAAAAUAAAAAUUAUUUACACUUGCAUGCAAUUAUAUCUCAAUAAAAUUGAUAAUUAUGAGGAACUAAUACAUCAAACUCAUGUAAAAAAAGAUCAAAUAAAUGGAAAAAACUAAAAUGAAAUGAGUCGGAGCGGCCCAUUAGCCCACAUGGCCCAAUAAUAAUUGGGUUGGGCCGGGCUAGCCCAUAUAUCUAGUCUGGCCCAUCGGGCUGGGCUAGCCCAUUUAAAGGAGAAAAAAAAGCAGAACGUUGUUAGCCAGCCAAACAGCGCUUUAUAUUGCCGUGGCAAAUACCAAAUUUAACCGUGGCUAAAUUUUGCAACGCCCCUAUAGGCCACUCUCAAAAUUAACGAUGCAAACUUCAUUAGCCACGGUCAAUUGCACUUUUAGCUACGGAUUUGACAGUGGCUAAAUAUCAAAUAUUUUGUAGUGCGAUAGCGGGUGACCCAAUGGAUCUUGGAGAAACACGGAUACCAUAUAAUAAUUGAGAAUUCCCUCUUACUUAUAAUCCUUUGUCUAGGUCAAUUCACAUCCAAUAUGGGACUUCUUAACAUCUUUUAACAUUUUUGUUCUAUGAAAAUGUUUUAUUUUCCUUUUUCUUUUUGAUGGAAAAAAGUUCUGUUUUCCUGAUAAAGGAAUUGAAUACAUUUUGUUUUCUUGACAAAAGGAAGAACCACUAUUCUAUGACACAUUAUUAUGUUUCUAUUGGAAAACAGUACCACCAUGACCUAAAGUUAUUUGGACCUAAGUUAUAUAUAAUGUUAUAUAAAGUUAUUUGAACUGUGAAAAAAACGACUUUACAUGCACGCCUAAAUUUUAUAUACUUACUGGUCUGACUAUGGAUAUUAAAAAAACAAAUAGUGGUUUGACUUUAGAUCCCAAUCACUUUUUUCUUUAAUAAAACAAAGAGACAGUUUGUAAUAAAAUUCAAAUCUUUUAUAUUAUAAGCUUGUAUACACAAGCAAACUCUAAACCCUAAUUUGUUUU